RNAcentral lists this transfer RNA (76 nucleotides) under Nodosilinea foveolarum. Its description in RNAcentral is "tRNA-Ala". It matches the Rfam family "tRNA". From Rfam's summary of the family: Transfer RNA (tRNA) molecules are approximately 80 nucleotides in length. Their secondary structure includes four short double-helical elements and three loops (D, anti-codon, and T loops). The record is from RNAcentral. Lineage: Bacteria; Bacillati; Cyanobacteriota; Cyanophyceae; Nodosilineales; Nodosilineaceae.
GGGGUUAUAGCUCAACUGGAAGAGUACUUGAUUUGCAUUCAAGCGGUUGAGAGUUCGAUUCUCUCUAACUCCACCA